GCGAUCGUAGCUCAGCUGGAUAGAGCGUUCGGCUCCGACCCGGAAGGCCAGAGGUUCGAAUCCUCCCGGUCGCACCA
RNAcentral lists this transfer RNA (77 nucleotides) under Faecalibacterium prausnitzii. RNAcentral describes it as "tRNA-Arg". It matches the Rfam family "tRNA". Rfam says of the family: Transfer RNA (tRNA) molecules are approximately 80 nucleotides in length. Their secondary structure includes four short double-helical elements and three loops (D, anti-codon, and T loops). Further hydrogen bonds mediate the characteristic L-shaped molecular structure. tRNAs have two regions of fundamental functional importance: the anti-codon, which is responsible for specific mRNA codon recognition, and the 3' end, to which the tRNAs corresponding amino acid is attached (by aminoacyl-tRNA synthetases). tRNAs cope with the degeneracy of the genetic code in two manners: having more than one tRNA (with a specific anti-codon) for a particular amino acid; and 'wobble' base-pairing, i.e. permitting non-standard base-pairing at the 3rd anti-codon position. The record is from RNAcentral. RNAcentral also lists the same sequence under 63 other names. Lineage: Bacteria; Bacillati; Bacillota; Clostridia; Eubacteriales; Oscillospiraceae.